RNAcentral lists this ribosomal RNA (803 nucleotides) under uncultured organism. RNAcentral's name for it is "bacterial SSU rRNA". It matches the Rfam family "Bacterial small subunit ribosomal RNA", at positions 502 to 1320 of the family's 1533-position model. The record is from RNAcentral.
UACGUGCCAGCAGCCGCGGUAAGACGUAGGACGCGAGCGUUAUCCGGAAUUACUGGGCGUAAAGGGCCAGCAGGCGGCUUGGUAAGUUGUGCGUGAAAGCCUCGUGCUCAACGCGAGGAAGCCGGACAAUACUGUCAAGCUAGAGGGCAUCAGAGGGGAGUGGAAUUCCCGGAGUAGCGGUAAAAUGCGCAGAUAUCGGGAGGAACACCGAUGGCGAAGGCAGCUCCCUGGGAUGCACCUGACGCUAAGAGGCGAAAGCUAGGGGAGCGAACAGGAUUAGAGACCCUGGUAGUCCUAGCUGUAAACGCUGGGUGCUAGGUGUGGGACGUAGAAGUUCCGUGCCGGAGCAAACGCGAUAAGCACCCCGCCUGGGAAUUACGGUCGCAAGGCUAAAACUCAAACGAAUUGACGGGGCCCCGCACAAGCAGCGGAGCGUGUGGUUCAAUUCGAUGCUACACGAAGAACCUUACCUGGGUUUGACAUGUACGUGGUACGAAGGCGAAAGCCUAAGGACCCUUCGGGGAGCGUACACAGGUGCUGCAUGGCUGUCGUCAGCUCGUGCCGUGAGGUGUCGGGUUAAGUCCCGUAACGAGCGCAACCCUUGCCCUUAGUUACAAGUGUCUAAGGGGACUGCCGGCGGGAAGCCGGAGGAAGGUGGGGAUGACGUCAAGUCAGCAUGGCCCUUAUGUCCAGGGCUACACACACGCUACAAUGGUCAGUACAAAGGGUAGCGAAGUCGCGAGGCGGAGCGAAUCUCAACAAAGCUGAUCGUAGUUCGGAUUGCAGGCUGCAACCCGCCUGCA